AUCUUUGGGAGCUUGCUCCCAAAAGUUAGCGGCGGACGGGUGAGUAACACGUGGCCAACCUGCCUAUAAGACUGGGAUAACUUCGGGAAACCGGAGCUAAUACUGGAUGAUUCUUUUCUACGCAUGUAGGAAAGCUGAAAGACGGUUUACGCUGUCACUUAUAGAUGGGCCCGCGGCGCAUUACUCUAGUUGGUGAGGUAACGGCUCACCAAGGCGGGGAUGUGUAGCCGACGUGAGAGGGUGAUCGGCCACACUGGGACUUUUUUCUCGGCCCACGAACCUACGGGAGGCAUCUCCUCCUCUGGCAUCAUAC
Molecule: small RNA, 313 nt
Filed under: uncultured bacterium
Lineage: Bacteria
Description: bacterial SSU rRNA
Rfam family: Bacterial small subunit ribosomal RNA
Source: RNAcentral